RNAcentral lists this ribosomal RNA (573 nucleotides) under Vermamoeba vermiformis. RNAcentral describes it as "SSU rRNA". It matches the Rfam family "Eukaryotic small subunit ribosomal RNA", at positions 606 to 1182 of the family's 1831-position model. The record is from RNAcentral. Lineage: Eukaryota; Tubulinea; Echinamoebida; Vermamoebidae.
AAUUGUUGCAGUUAAAAAGCUCGUAGUUGGAUUUCGGAAGGUCUUUAGUGGUCCGCCCCUUCGGGGAGCGGGUCACUGGCCUCCUAUGUUCCUAACGGUCCUCAUCCGCGAGGGUGGGGAAUCAACCGCUAGGAUCGUUUACUUUGAGGAAAUUAGAGUGUUCAAAGCAGGCGUAACUCGCCUCCGAAUACGUUAGCAUGGGAUAAUGGAAUACGACUUCGGUCUUGUUUCGUUGGUUUCGCUUGGCUGAAGUAAUGAUUGAUAGGGACAGUUGGGGGCAUUAGUAUUUAGUUGUCAGAGGUGAAAUUCUAGGAUUUACUAAAGACUGACCAAUGCGAAAGCAUUUGCCAAGGAUGUUUUCAUUAAUCAAGAACGAAAGUAGGGGGAUCGAAGACGAUCAGAUACCGUCGUAGUCUCUACCGUAAACUAUGCCGACCAGGGAUCCGGAGAGUUUGCAUGGAUGACUCCCCGGGCACCUUGUGAGAAAUCAUAAGUGUUUGGGUUUUGGGGGGAGUAUGGUCGCAAGGCUGAAACUUAAAGGAAUUGACGGAAGGGCACCACCAGGAGGGAAUU